Molecule: ribosomal RNA, 504 nt
Filed under: uncultured marine bacterium
Lineage: Bacteria
Description: bacterial SSU rRNA
Rfam family: Bacterial small subunit ribosomal RNA
Source: RNAcentral
AAGUCGAACGAAGUAGCAAUACUUAGUGGCAGACGGGUGAGUAACAUGUAGGUAUCUGCCCUUUGGCCUGGAAUAACACGAGGAAACUUGUGCUAAUACUGGAUAAGUCUUUACGGAGAAAGCUUUAUGCACCAUUGGAUGAGCCUGCACUUGAUUAGUUUGUUGGUAGGGUAAUGGCCUACCAAGACUUUGAUCAAUAGCUGAUUUGAGAGGAUGAUCAGCCACAUUGGGACUGAGACACGGCCCAAACCCCUACGGGAGGCAGCAGUGGGGAAUCUUGCACAAUGGAGGAAACUCUGAUGCAGCGAUGCCGCGUGAGUGAAGAAGGCCUUUGGGUUGUAAAGCUCUUUCGUCGGGGAAGAAAAUGACUGUACCCGAAUAAGAAGGUCCGGCUAACUUCGUGCCAGCAGCCGCGGUAAUACGAAGGGACCUAGCGUAGUUCGGGAAUUACUGGGCUUAAAGAGUUCGUAGGUGGUUGAAAAAGUUGGUGGUGAAAUCCCAGAG